RNAcentral lists this long non-coding RNA (591 nucleotides) under Catagonus wagneri (Chacoan peccary). RNAcentral's name for it is "lncRNA (ENSCWAG00000013922.1)". The record is from RNAcentral. Lineage: Eukaryota; Metazoa; Chordata; Mammalia; Artiodactyla; Tayassuidae.
GCCCGCGCGCGGGGUCCGGUGACGUCACCUCGCCGUGACGCGCAGGCUGUAGGAAAACUGACAAAUUAAAAGAAUUUACCAUGUAUCUUAUGACUCUUUUCUGGAGCCUUGGGACUUUGAUAAAGAUGAAUGCCAUACUCAACCAAAAGUGAAAAUGUGAAGUCGAGAAGAUGUUUGCUAAGUCAAGCCACUUCACAGAAGUUGUUAUUCAAGUCAAAUACAUCAUAAUGCAGAAUUCCUUAUCAGUACCACCAGAAGAUCAAGGUAAGAUAAACCAUGCUUGGGAAAGUGGUGAUGUGUGUGGUAUAAAGAGUCUAACUGAUACAUUUAAUGUCACUAUCCUCUAACCAUAAGGUGACUUAUUCCUUGGCACUAAGAACAAAAAUUCUAGUUCUAUAUGAAAGUUCAUUUCCUUUGGUAAAUUACUUGAGUGCCUGUGGAUUCCUGGUUUAUAAGAAUAUGUCUCCUUUGUUGAGAGCUUUUUGAGAGUGAGGCCAUCUCAUUGCACACAAAACUCACAGCCCUGCCCGUUAACUGGCGCUAAGAGGUGUCAGAUGAAGUUCCAGAGUAUUGACUUUAAUGAAGCAGAAU